GGGAGGCAGCAGUGGGGAAUAUUGCACAAUGGGGGAAACCCUGAUGCAGCAACGCCGCGUGAGUGAUGACGGUCUUCGGAUUGUAAAGCUCUGUCUUUGGGGACGAUAAUGACGGUACCCAAGGAGGAAGCCACGGCUAACUACGUGCCAGCAGCCGCGGUAAU
This 164-nucleotide ribosomal RNA is filed under the name Clostridium sp. enrichment culture DGGE gel band gz-15d-12. RNAcentral's name for it is "partial 16S ribosomal RNA". It matches the Rfam family "Bacterial small subunit ribosomal RNA", at positions 343 to 524 of the family's 1533-position model. Lineage: Bacteria; Bacillati; Bacillota; Clostridia; Eubacteriales; Clostridiaceae. The record is from RNAcentral.